AAUACAUUUUUACAAUACUGUGAACAAACCAGAGUGUAUAAAACAUGUAAUAUAUUAUAAUAUUUAGCAAUGAAUGUUUUAUCAUGGAAUAUUGCUUUUUAAUAUAAUAUCGAUGGAGAUAGUUGGAGUUAAGAGUACUGAUAGGCGAGCGGUGAAAUGCAUUGACCCUAUUAAGACUAACAAAAGCGAAAGCACUUAACUAGAUUAUUCUCUUUGUAUUAUUACAAUGAAGAGCGAAGGUUGGGGGAACAAAGAGGAUCAGAUACCCUCGUAGUCCUAUUUUUACAUCAAACUAUGGGAUUUCAAUCACACUUAUGUUCUACAAUAUUUUUUAUUAUAUAUAAUUGAGUACUUAAUUGUUUACUCUUAUAUUUAAUAUAAUUAUUUUUAUUAUUCAUUAUAUGUACUUUGAGCUCAUAUAAUAAUAUAGGUGAGAUGUAAGCAUUAUAGGAGAAUAAUAUAUAAGUAAUGUUAUAUUAUUAUGAUCCUUAUUUAUAAAAAUGUAAUGUGAUG
RNAcentral lists this ribosomal RNA (513 nucleotides) under Sorites sp. Sor_III. Its description in RNAcentral is "SSU rRNA". The stretch from base 1 to 367 matches the Rfam family "Eukaryotic small subunit ribosomal RNA", at positions 738 to 1113 of the family's 1831-position model. The record is from RNAcentral. Lineage: Eukaryota; Foraminifera; Miliolida; Soritidae.